GGUGGACCCAAUGGAAAGGGAGGGGGUUUGUCUUUCAGAUCAAACCUUACAAACAGCAAUUUUCUAUUUGUUCAAAACAGAUGUUAGGACCAUUUUCCCUCCCCAGUGCCACUUUAAGGGGCUUUUAGGGAUGACCACUGAGAGUCUGAGAUGUUCUGAGCAACACUGCCUCAUCUUUCAUCCAAAGUUGGCUGGCAAAGGAUCCAUGAGACUAUGCAAAGCACUCACCAGUGUUCCCAUGUUUUGAGAUUUGCACGCCUUUGAUAUUUUGACGGGAAAAGAGCAUCACCACAAAACAAGCCGCUAGAGGAUUAAAGGAGAUUUAUCACCCAGAAGGGUUCUAGGUAUCAUGGUUAACUGAGGUUUACUCACUUCGGAGAGAAUGCCCCAGUGGGAGAAAAUGUAACCUGAUUGGUCUUGAAAGAGAAUGCCAGCCCAAAUAAGAAUAAACAAACAAACAAAUGGACAGAGAAUCUCAGGAGGAGAAUAGAAUUAACUGGAAGGACACCACCAGGGGAAUUUGACAAAGGGCCAACAAUGGAAUUGAUUAGAUUGCUACCUGGAACAGUGGGUAGAGAAUGGAAUCUGGGAUUCUCUAGAACCUUCUACCUGAUGGAGGCCUUUCAGUGUUCUGUUUAGCCACAGAGCUGGUGCCUUUUCUGCUAGACCACCACCUAAUGAUUCCAGAGGACUCACUCCCCUAAACCAGUUACCCUCUCCCACAAGUACCCAGGGCCUUGCUAUCCACUUCUUGGAUGAAAAUAUUUGGAUCAGACUCAGACACCUUGACCCCGGUUCAGUUUUUCCUGGGGAGCGGCUGUGGCCCCCUCUGAUGCCCCCAGCUCAAUGCAUCACAGAAAGAAUUCCAGCCACUCAGCAACCUCUUGUGAUCUUCCAGGUGAGCAGGUUAACAAAUUAAAGAAUCAUUACCAUUACCAUUACCAUGUUUUCCGACUGAGCACUUCACCAUUUGGACGGGCAUUUUCUGUGUGUCCCACAUAUUCUGAGAACAAAACCAGGGGAAUGGGGACUAAAAAGAUGUAGAAAGGACAGACUCCCAGGGAACCCACUUGCAGCUGUGAGGAUGCUUCUCCUGCAGUUGUACAUAAUGCCGCAGCAAUCUCCUUCCCGUCUGAAACAAACGGAACAUUUCCCACUUGUGUUUGGAUAGUUCAAAGCCCUUACAUUAUUACUGAAUCACUUUUUUGGCUUCAUGUCUUGUAUAAAUGGACUGCGAGUUUGGAAGGCACUUGGCUUUUGUGUGUCCUAAGCCAACAGCUUUCACACUUUUUGACUGCAACCCAAGUAAGAAAUACAUUUAUGUUGCAACCCAGUAGACUCAUACCCAUAUAUGCAUGUAUGUGUACACAUGUAUGUACACAUAUAUUUCUAAGACAAAAGUAUUAUGAAGACUACGCACCCUCACUAAAUGCAAUGUAAAGGAAUUGGAGAAUGAGACAUGCGUUUUUACUCAUCCUCAUCCAAGGAGCUACAAAGCAUUGAAUUAACUUUAAACAUACUUCCACCCACUGUUGUUUGAAAUCAGAUGUUUGGCUGCUGCUGAUUAUUUCAGCAGUCCAGGGAGAAGGGUAACAGCUUGUGAUGGUGCCCACGGAAGAGAACAAUACAAGGUGUCUAGCCUGUGUGGCCCACUUUCCCUCUGGGAAUCAAUUUGAGUGCAGAGGGAAACUGACAGCAGGCCCCUUGGCGGAAUGCUGAGUCCAGGUGGCAUGGUCAUCUGUUGGUCACCUCCCAGAGACCUCAGGACAAAGAAGCCAGGGCUCUGCUGAGAAAAGCAAUUACCAUGAUCUGCCUUGGGCUGUCCCUAGAGUCCCACCUGUGGUGAGGGGCUGAGGAAGGUUGGUUCAGGGAAAAAAGACCCUGUGGAGUCUCUAAGCAGCUGUCCUUCUGGCCCGAUAAAGGUCACUGAAGGUCCUGAUAAAGCAGAGGGAAGAUGACAGGCUCUAGGGAGAGGAAAGGCAAGGAAACAUCAAUAAGAUGGGCAAAGAGACCAGAAUACUGAGGCUGGAUGGGAAGUUUCUUUUUUUU
RNAcentral lists this long non-coding RNA (2049 nucleotides) under Homo sapiens (human). RNAcentral's name for it is "HSALNT0359822". The record is from RNAcentral. Lineage: Eukaryota; Metazoa; Chordata; Mammalia; Primates; Hominidae.